RNAcentral lists this long non-coding RNA (8062 nucleotides) under Lactuca sativa (garden lettuce). RNAcentral's name for it is "long non-coding RNA (LSAT_LNC001024)". The record is from RNAcentral. Lineage: Eukaryota; Viridiplantae; Streptophyta; Magnoliopsida; Asterales; Asteraceae.
CUUCACUACCAAUCUCUUUUUGGGGGUAUGCCUUAGAGACUGCCGCCCAUAUCCUUAACCGAGUCCCUACUAAGAAGGUUGCCAAAACACCUCACGAGAUGUGGACAGGGAAAGCUCCCUCGUUGGCACAUAUCAAGGUUUGGGGUUGCGAGGCUUUCGUAAGACGAGAUACUCACGACAAGCUUGAACCUCGAAGUGAGCGAUGUAUUUUCAUCGGCUACCCGCAGACAUCCUUUGGAUAUCUCUUCUAUAGACCGAAGGACAAUGUUGUCUUCGUUGCGAGGAGAGGAGUUUUCCGAGAGCGAGAACUCAUAAGCCAAGGAGACAGUGGGAGGCAAAUCGAGCUUGAAGAGAUUCAAGAGUCGAUAGAUGAAGGAACCUCUACCGCUGGCACUCAACCCGAGGAGGAAACUCCGGUUGAACCGAUUGACGAAUCCUUACCUCUUAGACGUUCCGAUAGAGUUAGAGUUCAACCCCAGUUUUAUGGUUUUCAUAUUACUACCGAAGGGGACACGUAUAUUAGUGAUGGUACACUAAUAAAUCUUGAUGAACCUAAUAGCUAUAAGGAAGCCAUGGCAGGCCCGGAGUCUGCAAAAUGGAAAGAGGCAAUGGAUAGCGAGAUCCAAUCCAUGUAUGAUAACCAAGUUUGGAAUUUGGUUGAUUAUGUGCCCGGACGUAAGACCGUUGGGUGCAAAUGGAUCUUCAAGAAGAAGACCGACGUGGAUGGAAACGUACACACAUAUAAAGCGCGAUUGGUUGCGAAGGGCUUUACUCAAACUCCCGGAGUUGACUAUGAUGAGACCUUCUCACCAGUUGCGAAGAUUAAAUCUAUUAGAGUGAUGCUAGCAAUUGCCGCAUUUCAUGAUUAUGAGAUUUGGCAAAUGGAUGUCAAGACCGCUUUCCUUAACGGAAAGUUGGCUGAGGAUGUUUACAUGGCUCAGCCAGAGGGGUUUGUGGAUCCGAAGCAUCCGAAUAGAGUGUGUAAGCUUGAGAAGUCCAUUUAUGGACUUAAGCAAGCGUCUCGCAGAUGGAAUCUUUGCUUCGAUGAGAAAGUCAAAGAGUUUGGAUUUGUACGAAGCGAAGACGAAUCUUGUGUAUAUGUCAAAGCCAGUGGGAGUAUAGUAAGCUUCCUCGUUCUAUAUGUCGAUGACAUAUUACUCAUAGGAAACGACAUCCCGACUCUGCAGGAGGUUAAGUCCUGGCUCGGGAAGUGCUUCGCUAUGAAGGACCUCGGAGAGGCUUCUUACAUUUUGGGAAUAAGGAUAGUAAGAGAAAGAAGUAAGAGACUAAUUGGACUUAGUCAGAAUACUUACUUAGAGAAGGUACUAAAACGUUUUAGUAUGGAAAACUCAAAGAAGGGAGAACUACCGAUACAAAGUAAUGCCAAAUUGAGUAAGACUCAAAGUCCGAGUACCGAAGCUGAGAUAGCAGAAAUGAGCCGAGUACCAUACGCUUCCGCAGUUGGCUCAAUCAUGUACGCUAUGACUUGUACUCGCCCUGAUGUAGCCUUCGCUUUGAGCAUGGUUAGCAGAUAUCAAGGGAAUCCUGGCAAAGCACAUUGGAUUGCGGUGAAGAAUAUCCUUAAGUACCUUCGGAGGACGAAGGAAUGGUUCUUAGUCCUCGGAGGGAGUGAUGACUUGAAGGUGCGAGGGUAUAGUGACGCCAGUUUUCAGACCGACAGGGACAACUACCGUUCGCAGUCGGGCUGGGUCUUUACCCUAAAUGGAGGAGCAGUGACAUGGAAGAGUUCCAAGCAGGAAACCGUAGCUGAUUCAACGUGCGAAUCAGAGUACAUUGCAGCGAGCGAAGCGUCGAAGGAGGCAAUAUGGCUAAAGAACUUCAUCGGUGAUCUUGGAGUCGUACCUGCCAUAAAGGAGCCAAUGGAGAUUUUCUGUGAUAACGAAGGUGCGGUUGCCUUAACCAAGGAACCGAGGGAUCAUGGUAGAUCAAGACAUAUCGACAGAAAGUAUCACUUCAUUAGACAUCGUGUAGAAGAAGGACAACUCGUAGUGAAGAGGAUAUCAUCAGAAGAUAACCCAGCAGAUCCGCUUACGAAGGGACUGAGUAGGGUUAAGCACUUGCAGCAUGCUAGGAGUAUUGGGCUGAAGGAUGAUAUUAGCAUAGAUUAGAUAGUAUUAGAAACGUGUAAUAGAUAAAUGUAAUUGACAUUUGAUGAUUAAAUAAAGGAGUUUUAUUUAUGAGUAAUGUUACUAUCUUAUGUUAAUUGUUUAGCUAUUGUUUCACUUUGCAUGUUUUGACUUCCAGAAUAAUUGAGUUUAUUAGGAAUAAUCGAAUUAUUCAAAUGGUCCACAAUCGUUCAUAUGUUGGGAGUAGAUAUGAAAGAAGAUUGUCAUGAAUUGGUGUGUAGAAUGUCUAAAUGGUGUUAGACAUAGCAAAGGAUUGCUGCAACGUUCAUGAGUGCUUAUGAACUAGUUUUGAGCAUUGGAAUAAACCCGCGCUUGCUGGAAUCACCUUAUGGAAUACGAUAUAAAAGGUGAUCGCAAGACGAUAAUAUCAUAUAGUCUUAAAACCUAGAUAUAUGGUUUAUUAUUUGUUAAUUGAUUGUACAUUGAUAAUACGAAAACGCAUCAGUAACUUGGUGUUAUAAAACGUAUUGUUGUGUAUAGUUGGUUAAUGAAUAAGUAAAUGCAUAUAAGUCGAAGUUUAUCUGUAACUUUUAUCUAAGAAGGUAAAAGCGAUAUCUCGGCCGCUCGAUGAUUUGAUUUGACUUAUGUGCCGGGCCCGGUCAGAACUGAAUUGAUGUGUUCGAUUAAGUUCUAUGUCAAAUAAAUCAGAGAUCGAGAAACCUAAAUGCUUGACUAACCAUUCCAUAGGAUUGUCAGCAUGAUAUCUAACAGAGGACUGUACGUUCCCUUAUCUAAAGGACAAGAUUGAUUAGAUCAGAGUUGACAGCGUCUUUGAGAGCUACGAUUGCAAACCGAAUUGUACUUGUAUAGUUACUAGACUUAUCCAAGUGGGAGACUGUUGGAAUAGUGUCUAAGGCUGUAACUAUAUCCGGUUGUGCAUGGUCCUUUUGGGUUGCCUUCACCAUAGCAACUUGAUAGGAUGAUUUAUUAAGAGAGAAUAAAUAUUAUUAAUAUAUUAUGGGAAUAAUAUAAUGAAUAAUAUAUUUGUUAUUUGAUUAAUAUAAGUCAUAGAAUUAAUUAGAAUUAAUUUGGUGACUUAAAGAGAUUAAUUAAAUAAAGGGGUAUAAACUGUCAAUUGUUUGAUAGUUAAGCUUUAAACUGUAAAUCCAUUUGGAUAUACUAUGGACGAAUUCUAAGAGGAUUAGGAUAGCUAAAAUCGUCCAUUAGAGUUAUCUAGGAAUGGAUUUGGAUAGCCUUAAGAGAAGAUUAUCUGAUAGGGACUUAUCUGUAAUCCUUAAGGAGUCUACAAGUAUAAAUAGACCCCAUGGCUGAUGGAAUUCGACACUUGACCUAAAGUAAGGAACCUCUGGUCGAAAUUCCUCCCCUCUCCUCUCUCCCAAAUCAUCCUCCUUGCUUUGGUGUUUGUAAGCCAUUAGAGGAGUGACAUUUGUGACUCUAGAAGCUCCAAGACCUCAAGAUCAACAAGGAACUCAAAGGUAUGAUUCUAGAUCUGUUUUAAUGUUCUUGUUUAACCUAAUUAGUAAUUAGAAGUCUUGGAUUCAAAGCAUGUUUAUUAGAAAGCCUAGAUCCAAGCAUUAGGGUUUUGCAUGCGCACAUAGGAAAGUUCUUAUGGCUAAAACCCAUCAGUGGUAUCAGAGCCUAGCUUGGUUUUCUGUAAAUUGUUGCUUGAUUAACUGAAACAAACCUGCAAAAUUCGAAUUUUUGGUUUCUGAGUCAUGGACUCGGCGAGUCUCAAAGUGGACUCGGCGAGUAGGCCUGACUCGGCGAGUCCAUUUGUGCACUCGGCGAGUCCAGGCGUCAGGAAUGGCCAGAUUCGGGAUUUCUUUGUGUUUAUCUUAUCUUAACUUACCAUAAACUAAUUAGAUCAACAUUAAUUCGUUUUUCUGAUAAAUAUAACUAUUAUCUUGAUCUAGUUAAAGGUAAUUAUCAACUAAUUAAAUAUUUAAUUUCCUUAUAUGAUAAUUAAUUAAUUAUUUUGAUUAUUUUGGUAAUUAUCUUUAAAAGAAAUCUUGAAUAAAUCAAAUAUAGAUAAUUAGGAUAUUAAUUGUUAAUUGGAAUUAUUUGUUAUUUGAUCCUCCAUGUUUUAAAUGUUUAAAACCUACCCUCAUGUUUUGAAAUUUACUUUUGUGAUUAAAAGUUUUAAUUUAGACAACUUAAAUUUCAAACCCUAGAUUUUAAAAGUUUUAAAAUACAACCCUAUACUAAUAUGAUAUUACUAGAAUAAUAUAUAUAUGUAUAACUAAAUGCUAGUCUUACCGUUAGUAGGCCUCAUUCACGAAGCCGAUCUAUAAGGUGGGUAUAAGGUUGCGGCCUAUAAAAUGGCGCUUAAUGGGUGUACACUCACACCCACCGCUUGCUUGAUUGGUGGAGGGUCGUUAGCCGAACGGGUAGGAUAGGGCAACCUCAUCCUCUCAUUAAAAGUAUAAUAAGAAAUAUAAAGUAACUACACAUUUUUUUAAAAUUUCCCAAUCCUAGUUACUUUAGGAAAAGUGAAUUGAUGCAAUCCCAUGAAAUUACACUUUGCACCUUGCUAAGAUGUUAGUGGAGCGUGUGUGGUUUACCGGCACACUAAUUGGUUCUAAGCGAAGGUGGCAAAGGGUGAUUCAUUGUUUAUCAUAGUUCGAUGGAGCGUGUGUGGUUUACCGGCACAUCGAAUAGGUGAUUGUUACAAUGAAGGCACCAUGUGAAUUUGCAUGGUAAUUCACACCCGCUUUGUGAUCCUCGGCAUCCCAGUCACAAACAAGAGGGGCAUAUCGAGAUUUAAACAUGCCAUUGAAUAGUUUCAAUGAAUCUCAUCCGAACCUAGGAAUUCUCAAAAACACUUAGGACUAAUAGUUUAAGUUUUGUGAUGGAGAAUUAGUGAAUCGUCAUUCACUUACCUUCAAUUUAUUUGCAUGUUAGAUUACGGCAUCCCUUUUCUAGUAUGUAAAUGUUAUUGUUGGAUCCUAGCCCUAAUUUUCUUAUUGGGUGAUAAUUAGGGAUUCUUAUUCUAAUCUAUCUUUGUCCUUUUCUAAUUGUAGAUGUCGAACGCAAACAACGCUGCUGCUAGUUCUUUCACGUUGAUGAGCCUUUGCCAAAAGGUCACCUUCGAUGGAACGAACUUUAGCGAAUGGAUAAGAUACAUUCGCACCAUUGCUCGCUAUGAGGAUAAGGAGUAUGUCCUCGAUGAGAAGCUCGAGAAAAUCAACCCCGAAAUUGCUACUCCCGCCGAAAUCACCGCCUUUGAAACUCAUGAGCGAGAUGCAACGAAGGUACAUUGCAUCAUGAUCGCCACCAUGAACUCCGAAUUCCAAAAGUCCUACGAGGACAUGUACCCGUACGAGAUGCAUCAAGACUUAUUGGAGAGGUACCACCAAAACGCGAGACAAGAGAGGUACGAGAUUUUCACUAACAUGAUUUCCGCGAAGAUGGGUCAUGGAGAAUCUCUUACCGUGCACUUGCAAAAGAUGCAAAGGUAUGUUGACCGCCUCCGCAAGUUAAAUGUUGACUUCGGUGAAGACUUGGCGAUCGACAUGGUGCUUCACUCUUUGCCUCCGAUGUACAACCAAUUUAGGAUGACCUACCACAUGAACAAAGAAGAGGUCACCCUAAGCAAGCUCCAAGGUCUCUUGAGGGUUGCUGAGAGCAACUUCAAAGACAAGUCUGUUGCACCUACUCCCAAUCCGCCCGCUGCUCCUGUCUUGGCUAUUGGACAAGGGAAGGGAAAGAAGAGGAAAGCUUCAUCGAAGAACUAUCGCAAGGUGAAAGCCCGAGAUGGUGCCUCUUCUAGUGGGACCAAAGUUGAUCCCGCCAAGCCCUGCUCUAACCCGAAGGAGGCAGAGUGCCACCACUGCCACAAGAUAGGACAUUGGAAGAGAAGCUGCCCGGAUUACCUGCAAGCAAUCAAAGAAGGAAAGAUCAAGCCAUCUUUCGCAGGUAUAUAUACAAUCAAAUCUAACGAUUCUAAUCAUGCUAUUUCUUGGGUUCUUGAUACCGGUUGUGGUUAUCACAUUUGUUCUAAUGUGCAGGGACUAAGAAGAAGUAGGGAUGUGGAGCAAGGAAGGAUCAAUCUAAUCAUGGGGAACAGAAGAUCGUCGCCUGUGACCAAGAUUGGAGUGUAUUCCUUAGUGCUUAGGAAUAGUUUAGUUUUAGAUUUGAACAAUUGUUGCUAUUCGCCAGAAAUGGCAAGAAACAUCAUUUCAUUUCAUGGUUUAUAUAGACAAGGAUUUAGAUUUUCUUUUAAUAAUGAGAAUGGUUCUAUUUUGGCUUAUCUAAAUGGUGUCUUUUACUUUGAAGCUAUACCAUGUAAUGGAAUAUAUGAAACCGUUAUGAUUGUUGAUAACUUAGGAAAUGAUGUUUUGAAUAUUGAUUCUUCCACUAGUAUGGAUAAAGCAUCCUUGUGGCAUUGUCGUCUUGGACAUGUCAACAAGAAACGCAUAGCCCAACUCCAAAAGGAUGGAGUGUUGGAGUCAUUCGACCUUAGGGAAGAUGACACAUGCGAGUCUUGUUUACUUGGAAAGAUGACUAAGUCACCCUUCACGAGUACAUGUGAAAGGGGUGAGGGUCUAUUGGACCUAAUACAUACCGAUGUAUGUGGACCGUUUAGAUCAACCACGAAGGAUGGGAACCGCUUCUAUGUGACUUUUACCGAUGACUAUAGUAGAUAUGGGUAUAUCUACUUAAUCAAGCAAAAGUCAGAAACCUUUGAAAAGUUCAAAGAGUUCAAGAAUGAAGUGGAGAAUCAAUUGGGCAGGAAAAUCAAGAUGCUUCGAUCCGAUCGAGGAGGAGAGUACCUAAGUCUUGAAUUCCACGAUUAUCUCAAGGAGUGUGGAAUAGUUUCGCAAUUGACGCCUCCUAGGACACCGCAGUUGAAUGGUGUGGCAGAAAGGCGUAAUCGAACCUUAUUGGAUAUGGUUCGCUCUAUGAUGAGUCGUGCUUCACUACCUAUCUCUUUUUGGGGGUAUGCCUUAGAGACUGCCGCCCAUAUCCUUAACCGAGUCCCUACUAAGAAGGUUGCCAAAACACCUCACGAGAUGUGGACAGGGAAAGCUCCCUCGUUGGCACAUAUCAAGGUUUGGGGUUGCGAGGCUUUCGUAAGACGAGAUACUCACGACAAGCUCGAACCUCGUAGUGAGCGAUGUAUUUUCAUCGGCUACCCGCAGAAAUCCUUUGGAUAUCUCUUCUAUAGACCGAAGGAUAAUGUUGUCUUUGUUGCGAGGAGAGGAGUUUUCCGAGAGCGAGAACUCAUAAGCCAAGGAGACAGUGGGAGGCAAAUCGAGCUUGAAGAGAUUCAAGAGUCGAUAGAUGAAGGAACCUCUACCGCUGGCACUCAACCCGAGGAGGAAACUCCGGUUGAACCGAUUGACGAAUCCUUACCUCUUAGACGUUCCGAUAGAGUUAGAGUUCUACCCCAGUUUUAUGGUUUUCAUAUUACUACCGAAGGGGACACGUAUAUUAGUGAUGGUACACUAGUAAAUCUUGAUGAACCUAAUAGCUAUAAGGAAGCCAUGGCAGGCCCGGAGUCUGCGAAAUGGAAAGAGGCGAUGGAUAGCGAGAUCCAAUCCAUGUACGAUAACCAAGUUUGGAACUUGGUUGAUUACGUGCCCGAACGUAAGACCGUAGGGUGUAAGUGGAUCUUCAAGAAGAAGACCGACGUGGAUGGGAACGUACACACAUAUAAAGCGCGAUUGGUUGCGAAGGGCUUUACUCAAACUCCCGGAGUUGACUAUGAUGAGACCUUCUCACCAGUUGCGAAGAUUAAAUCUAUUAGAGUGAUGCUAGCAAUUGCCGCAUUUCAUGAUUAUGAGAUUUGGCAAAUGGAUGUCAAGACCGCUUUCCUUAACGGAAAGUUGGCUGAGGAUGUUUACAUGGCUCAGCCAGAGGGGUUUGUGGAUCCGAAGCAUCCGAAUAGAGUGUGUAAGCUUGAGAAGUCCAUUUAUGGACUUAAGCAAGCGUCUCGCAGAUGGAAUCUUUGC